RNAcentral lists this ribosomal RNA (234 nucleotides) under uncultured bacterium. Its description in RNAcentral is "partial 16S ribosomal RNA". It matches the Rfam family "Bacterial small subunit ribosomal RNA", at positions 253 to 504 of the family's 1533-position model. The record is from RNAcentral.
CGGGGUAACGGCCCACCAAACCGACGAUCGGUAGCCGGACUGAGAGGUUGAACGGCCACAUUGGGACUGAGACACGGCCCAGACUCCUACGGGAGGCAGCAGUGGGGGAUAUUGCACAAUGGGGGAAACCCUGAUGCAGCGACGCCGCGUGAGGGAAGAAGGUUUUCGGAUUGUAAACCUCUGUCUUUAGUGACGAAGAUGACGGUAGCUAAAGAGGAAGCCACGGCUAACUAC